CCCUGGAGGACUAGUGGUUAGGCCUCAGCGCUCUCACCGAUGCGGCCCGGGUUCGAUUCCUGGCCACUGGGG
This 72-nucleotide transfer RNA is filed under the name Pangasianodon hypophthalmus (striped catfish). Its description in RNAcentral is "tRNA-Glu". Lineage: Eukaryota; Metazoa; Chordata; Actinopteri; Siluriformes; Pangasiidae. The record is from RNAcentral.